UUUUUAAAUUAAAUUUCCAUUCAAUUUGAAAAGUUUUUCAGUUAUUGCAAAAGUAAUUGAUCAAUAAAUGGUGUUUUUAAGUGAUAUUAAUUUGCAAAUGAAACGGGAAAAGCGACAAGCAAAAGCAAUAAGUUGAGGCAACAAUAACCAAUCGAGGGCUUGCCAGCAUAUACGACCAUGGAAUAGUGGGUCCCAGAGUGAGAAUCCUUUUGUUUUUGUGCUCCCCCGUGCUGACAGACAGGCCAGGCCACAAAUCGACAGGCGAAACGGAUGAAAGGGUUGGCUUUCAGUUGAUGGCUUUCGGUUCGUGUAAAAAAUGUCAAAGAAUCCAAGCAGCAUUACUCGUGGAACAGAAUACCUUUCUCCUGGGCGCAGACAAGCAAUUUGUUUCCCGUGUGCUGUUCCCGUGUGCGGCCUUCCCUUUGAAGCACAUCUUUCAUCAUUCACGGGAGCCAAUGAGUCCCUUUUUGUGAAAAAAAGAAAGAUGAUAAUUGGUUUUCUUGAUUAAGUUUUGUUUUCCCUGGAAUGUAAUUCCAUAUAAUUGGACAAAUAUUCGAAAGACAAGAAUAAACAAAGUCAGCUGCUUAUUA
This is a long non-coding RNA of Drosophila pseudoobscura, 590 nucleotides long. RefSeq lists it as uncharacterized. NCBI's taxonomy places the organism in Eukaryota, Metazoa, Arthropoda, Insecta, Diptera, Drosophilidae. The record is from RefSeq and is a predicted model, not a curated record. The transcript is spliced from 2 exons.